Falco peregrinus (peregrine falcon) is the source of this 734-nucleotide long non-coding RNA. RefSeq lists it as uncharacterized. The transcript is spliced from 3 exons. Lineage: Eukaryota; Metazoa; Chordata; Aves; Falconiformes; Falconidae. The record is from RefSeq and is a predicted model, not a curated record.
AGAGAUACCAACAUUAUUUUAAAACACAAGGGAGACAACACCCUGUUCAUCAUGGUUCUGAUAAAAAAGAAACGCUGGCAUUAUCAGAUCAUAUCAUCAACCGUGGAAACAAACAAAAGCAGGGAUAUAUUAAUUAAAAUAGUAGAACCUGAACAAACUGACAAGCACCAAGAUGCACCAGAACAGAUGAGAGAAUACCUGACUCUGGUAGAAGCACCAGUUCUUUUACACAAAGAAUCUGAAAAAAUGGAGACCUACAACCUAAUUGUGGCUUAAGCUGCUUUUAAGAACCUAGUUGGCAAGUUGCUGGUUUUCUUGGGGGGAAAGAAGAGGGAAGACUUUAAUCGUCUCUGUUCACAGGUCUGAAAAUGAGAGAAGUUUAAAAUUAAUCUGAGAUUACAAAUACUUCCAAAUGGAAUCCCUCAGUUCUGUUCUCUUCUAAAGUGCUUCCAGAAAGGUGACUUGGCCUGUCCAGUCAAGCCUCUGUAGCAGCCUUCGGAACCUAAGUGGCUUCAGAAUGGAAGCAUGGAGAAAAAGGAGGAAGAGAAAUAGUAAUAAAAGGCACAGGGGGAAGAGGAAAAAGAAUGUGUAAAAAGAAAGGUGUGCAAAAAGAAGAAUGGAGUAAUGAAACGAAUCUUCAGUGGGAAAAAAAAUUACCUGGGGGAAACUUGUUUGGCAGAAGCGCCAGUGUGCCAUGCUGUCCCUCUAGGUCAUGCCUGUGCUCAGGUGAUCCA